RNAcentral lists this ribosomal RNA (601 nucleotides) under uncultured bacterium. RNAcentral's name for it is "bacterial SSU rRNA". It matches the Rfam family "Bacterial small subunit ribosomal RNA", at positions 28 to 641 of the family's 1533-position model. The record is from RNAcentral.
AAUCAACGCUGGCGGCGUGCCUCAGACAUGCAAGUCGAACGAUUAAAGCUCUCUUCGGAGAGUGCAUAGAGUGGCGUACGGGAGAGUAACACGUAAGUAAUCUACCCUCGGGUGGGGAAUAACUUAAGGAAACUUAAGCUAAUACCGCAUAAUGCAGCGGCUCCAUAUGGGGACAGUUGUUAAAGCAUUUAUGCGCCUGGGGAGGAGCUUGCGGCAGAUUAGCUAGUUGGUAAGGUAACGGCUUACCAAGGCAACGAUCUGUAGCCGGUCUAAGAGGACGGUCGGUCUCACUGACACUGAAUAACGGGUCAGACUCCUACGGGAGGCAGCAGUCGGGAAUUUUGGGCAAUGGGCGAAAGCCUGACCCAGCAACGCCGCGUGAAGGAUGAAGUCUUUCGGGAUGUAAACUUCGGAAAUAUGGGAAGAAUAAAUGACGGUACCAUAUCUAAGGUCCGGCUAACUACGCGCCAGCAGCCGCGGUAAUACGUAGGGACCAAGCGUUGUUCGGAUUUACUGGGCGUAAAGGGUACGUAGGCGGCGCUGCAAGUCAAUUGUGAAAUCUCCGGGCUUAACUCGGAACGGCCAAUUGAUACUGCAGUGC